This 96-nucleotide transfer RNA is filed under the name Streptomyces phage BroPlease. RNAcentral's name for it is "tRNA-Arg". Lineage: Duplodnaviria; Heunggongvirae; Uroviricota; Caudoviricetes. The record is from RNAcentral.
GGCUCGAUUUGGGGGUCUCGCACCCCCUCUGACCUGCGACGAUAGAAAGUCAUGUGACGUGGGUCACACGACUGGUUCGAUGUCCGGUUCGGCCUG